GCUGGCGUAGCUCAGUUGGUAGAGCAAUGGUUUUGUAAACCAAAGGUCACGGGUUCGACUCCUGUCGCCAGCACCA
Molecule: transfer RNA, 76 nt
Filed under: Burkholderiales bacterium
Lineage: Bacteria; Pseudomonadati; Pseudomonadota; Betaproteobacteria; Burkholderiales
Description: tRNA-Thr
Rfam family: tRNA
About the family: Transfer RNA (tRNA) molecules are approximately 80 nucleotides in length. Their secondary structure includes four short double-helical elements and three loops (D, anti-codon, and T loops). Further hydrogen bonds mediate the characteristic L-shaped molecular structure. tRNAs have two regions of fundamental functional importance: the anti-codon, which is responsible for specific mRNA codon recognition, and the 3' end, to which the tRNAs corresponding amino acid is attached (by aminoacyl-tRNA synthetases). tRNAs cope with the degeneracy of the genetic code in two manners: having more than one tRNA (with a specific anti-codon) for a particular amino acid; and 'wobble' base-pairing, i.e. permitting non-standard base-pairing at the 3rd anti-codon position.
Source: RNAcentral